This is a long non-coding RNA of Anguilla anguilla (European eel), 371 nucleotides long. RefSeq lists it as uncharacterized. The transcript has 2 exons. The record is from RefSeq and is a predicted model, not a curated record. NCBI's taxonomy places the organism in Eukaryota, Metazoa, Chordata, Actinopteri, Anguilliformes, Anguillidae.
CUUGCACGGUGGCUACAUAGAACGUGAGCACGGCGUAAGCACGUAGGGGAGAAGGAGGAGAGACAACAAAGCCGUUCAGGAACAGACAAGCGCAAGCACGCUGGACAGACCCUUCGAAGGUUAUGAAUGGCGCAGGAGUUCCUCUGAAUUGGUCCAUCAGAUCCAGCCCUCCGAAGAAGUUCACAAAGAUGAUCCCCAAUUUGGCUGGCAUGAAACUGACAAAAAAGUGAUGGAAUUCACAUAAUAAUUCAAAUAACCAUUGCACUUCAGGGUCAAAGUUUAACUUCCAGGGAUAUUAUUUCCGGGUUAAAUACUUCCAACAAACAAUACGACAACAAUGUGUGUGACUUGUGAUAAACAUUGACCUGCUA